Molecule: long non-coding RNA, 561 nt
Filed under: Salvator merianae (Argentine black and white tegu)
Lineage: Eukaryota; Metazoa; Chordata; Lepidosauria; Squamata; Teiidae
Description: lncRNA (ENSSMRG00000008885.1)
Source: RNAcentral
CGGUGCCUCAGAACAAACCAAGGUGAUGAGAUCCAAAGUGAACGGUGGAAGAAAUGUCCAUUAGCAGUUGCAGGUGUGGCAAAAGUGCCCUCCCAACCUUGCCGACUCCAGCCCCCAAGCAGAGAAACGCCGUCCUUGUCAACAUCUUCAAAGCACUGGUUUGCACACCCCUCCUAGAAAGGCAGGCUAUGGCAGGGCACCGGCGGAAGAGGCUGAGCCAGUGGAUCUGAGAGUAAGGGUGGAGAUGAUGGAGCACAAGGAGGGCAAGAAAAGGGAGACAAAGGUGUGUUCAUAGCUCUUUAUUCAGGUGAGAUAACAACAUUCAAAUUAUUUGAAAAAAAAAAGAAAGCCUUGUGAAUUUGGCUCUUCAAUCACAGAUUGGUACAGACAAAUCCAAAGGUCAGAACUGCAAAAUCCUGCCCUUUUCACAAAAGCUACAGUCACUUCAGCAGGAAGAACUAGUGGGAGAGAAAAGAUCUUUGAAAACACUGUGUACAUCCAACCCCAUUCUUUAUGGAUAAACAAUAAUAAAAAUCAGUGAACUCUUAACUUUCUGACUCA